RNAcentral lists this ribosomal RNA (92 nucleotides) under Methanothrix sp. RNAcentral describes it as "partial 16S ribosomal RNA". It matches the Rfam family "Archaeal small subunit ribosomal RNA", at positions 1 to 96 of the family's 1478-position model. The record is from RNAcentral. Lineage: Archaea; Methanobacteriati; Methanobacteriota; Methanomicrobia; Methanotrichales; Methanotrichaceae.
AUUCUGGUUGAUCCUGCCAGAGGUUACUGCUAUCGAGGUUCGACUAAGCCAUGCGAGUCGAAUGUAGCAAUACAUGGCGUACUGCUCAGUAA